CUAUACAUAGUGGUCCUAGAUGGCACAUUGAACCUAGGGCAAGCUUUAGACAUGAAGAACCUAAAACCUUCUUUCUCUGCAAAUAUGAACGGAAGCUCAUCUACCACAAUCAUGCGAGCAAAUGCUUCUCUAACUUCUUUCUCAUUGUAUUGCCAAGGAACCACAGAGUUGCCAUCAGCACAAACUUGGUAGGUAAGCUCGGUCUGAUUGCUACCGAUGUGGGCAGGAUUUUUUUUGCAAAUCUUCAAAUGGUUUACUAAAGAAGCAGUACCUGCCGAUGUGGAUUUGCAACCCAAUACAGCACUACAAUAGUUGCAGUUUGCAUGAUCCGGAUCAUCCACCUGAAUUGUGAAGUAAGGAACCUUGACUAGCAACAUAACCAGCACCAAGGUUGACACUAUCGAACACCUGAAGAAAUAAGUUAGCCACUACUACUGCAACCAAACUGAACCAACUAUGUUACUGAACAAGUAUCAUGAGAUCAGGGAGAUGCUAUGCUACUGAACAAGUAUCCAACCAGAUCGAACUCAAGGUCAAAGAAUGGGCUUACCAUGAUGGCGUCGACGGCUCGUGUUGCUCCGUGGAACCGUGCGUCGGCGAGCGCGACGGAGGGCGGAGCCGCGGAUGUCAGCGAGUCGGCGACUCAACGGCGUGGAGGAAAGAGGGCGGAGCCGGAGG
This is a long non-coding RNA of Triticum dicoccoides, 678 nucleotides long. RefSeq lists it as uncharacterized. The record is from RefSeq and is a predicted model, not a curated record. The transcript is spliced from 3 exons. NCBI's taxonomy places the organism in Eukaryota, Viridiplantae, Streptophyta, Magnoliopsida, Poales, Poaceae.